Molecule: small RNA, 563 nt
Filed under: Pongo abelii (Sumatran orangutan)
Lineage: Eukaryota; Metazoa; Chordata; Mammalia; Primates; Hominidae
Description: retained intron
Source: RNAcentral
AAGGUCCCAGGUAGACAUGAUGCUGGCCACAUUCUUCUAAGGGUUACAAAUGUGUCGCUCUGUUGAUCUUUUUCUUUUCUUUCCUGCCUAGGCACAGCUAAAGUGCUCUCUGGUACAACAGUUGCCCCUGGGAGCUCCAACUCAGGAUCCAUGACCACUGCACUGGGGAGCCAACUCUCCAGCAGUCAAACAGUGAUUCCACGUUCCAGUGGCACCACCUCUCACACAACUGUUGCACUUGGAAGUUCUGAUACAGGAACCACCUCUGGUGCAUCAGAUGAUCAAGUCACUGGAAGUAAAACAGGCACUACUGGUGUGGCCUUGAGCACAACUGUUGCACCUGGAAGUUCCAGUACAGAAGCCACAACUUCCACAGGAGUCCAUAGAACCACUGUAGUGGGACGGAAGACAGAAGCUACCACUAGAGGAUCAGCAAAGCAAGGAACUGGAAGCACAAUAGAAGCUACGACGUCCUUUAGAGGCACUGGGACCACAGGAAGUGGAAUGAAUACAGGUACUACUGGAGUAGUCUCUGGCAACACCAUCUCACCUAGCAGUUUCAA